GACGAACGCUGGCGGCGUGCUUAAUACAUGCAAGUCGAACGGAAAGGCCCUGCUCGCAGGGUACUCGAGUGGCGAACGGGCGAGUAACACGCGGGUGAACUGCCCUGCACUUCGGGAUAAGCCUGGGCAACUGGGUCUAAUACCGGAUAGGAGCUAUUUUUAGCGUGAUGGUUGGAAAGUUUUUUCGGUGUAGGAUGAGCUCGCGGCCUAUCAGCUUGCUGGUGGGGCGAUGGCCUACCAAGGCGGCGACGGGUAGCCGGCCUGAGGGGGUGGACGGCCACAUUGAGUCUGAGGGGCGGCCGAGACUGCUAAGGGAGGGAGAAGUGGGGAAUCUUGCAGGAUGGGCGCAAGCCUGGUGAAGCGACGCCGCGUGGGGGAUGACUGCCUUCGGGUUGUAAACUCCUUUCGCUAGGGACGAAGCUUUUUGUGACGGUACCUAGAUAGGAAGCACCGGCUAACUACGUG
This 465-nucleotide ribosomal RNA is filed under the name uncultured bacterium. RNAcentral's name for it is "partial 16S ribosomal RNA". It matches the Rfam family "Bacterial small subunit ribosomal RNA", at positions 28 to 507 of the family's 1533-position model. The record is from RNAcentral.